UACGAAGGGGGCUAGCGUUGUUCGGAAUCACUGGGCGUAAAGCGCACGUAGGCGGAUCGUUAAGUCGGGGGUGAAAUCCUGAGGCUCAACCUCAGAACUGCCUCCGAUACUGGCGAUCUCGAGUCCGGAAGAGGUUGGUGGAACAGCUAGUGUAGAGGUGGAAUUCGUAGAUAUUAGGAAGAACACCAGUGGCGAAGGCGGCUCACUGGUCCGGUACUGACGCUGAGGUGCGAAAGCGUGGGGAGCAAACAGG
This 253-nucleotide ribosomal RNA is filed under the name uncultured bacterium. RNAcentral describes it as "partial 16S ribosomal RNA". It matches the Rfam family "Bacterial small subunit ribosomal RNA", at positions 524 to 776 of the family's 1533-position model. The record is from RNAcentral.